This 485-nucleotide ribosomal RNA is filed under the name uncultured bacterium. RNAcentral's name for it is "partial 16S ribosomal RNA". It matches the Rfam family "Bacterial small subunit ribosomal RNA", at positions 28 to 523 of the family's 1533-position model. The record is from RNAcentral.
GACGAACGCUGGCGGCGUGCUUAACACAUGCAAGUCGAACGAUGAAACCGGAGCUUGCUCCGGCGGAGUAGUGGCGAACGGGUGAGUAACACGUGAGUAACCUGCCCUUGACUCUGGGAUAACUGCGGGAAACUGUAGCUAAUACCGGAUACGACCCUCGGCGGCAUCGCCAGGGGGUGGAAAUAAUUUCGGUCAAUGGAUGGACUCGCGGGCUAUCAGCUAGUUGGGGGGGUAACGGCUCCCCAAGGCGACGACGGGUAGCCGGCCUGGGAGGGUAACCGGCCCCACGGGGACUGCGACACGGCCCAGAAUCCUACGGGCGGCAGCAGUGGGAAAUAUUGCACAAUGGGCGCGAGCCUGAUGCAGCAACGCCGCGUGAGGGAUGCCGGCUUUCGGGUUGUAAACCUCUUUUAGUAGGGAAGAAGCGAAAGUGACGGUACCUGCAGAAAAAGCACCGGCUAACUACGUGCCAGCCGCCGCCGUAA